GGCUUCCCCCACCCAGCUGUCUGAAGUGCUGUCACUGACAUACAUUCAUUUGCUACUCCCAUCUUGGAGGAUACACUUUUCUAACAUACUUACUAUGCUAAAGGAGUAAAAUCCCAUUAAUAAGAAUGGAAACAUGGGAGUGAUUGCCUUUGACAUAAGCCAGGGAAGUGGAGCUGUCACAGGCCAUCUAGACAUGCUGCCCUGGGGUCUCCCGUCACACAGAGGUGCCCUGGUACCUGCAGUGUCAUGCUGUCCUGGCUCUGGUCAGGACAGGGGUAAUUUUUUUGCUGUAGCCAGGAGUGGGCAUGGCUGGGAUGCAGAGUUCAUUCUGUACCACUUCACAUCACUGCCAGGGGUGGGGGAAAGGGACUCUCUUCUGAGAAGAGGUUCCUUGAAGUGGAGUAAGCAAGGCAGAGCGAGCUCUCUGGUCUACAAUCCAGGAUUUUUUCCCAUGGACGUAAUUUCUUUUCUUGUACCCUCUGUCCUUAGUAUUGUUGCUGUUACUGUUCGUUUUCUUGUUCCCUUGCUGUUUCCAGUAAAUUGUUCUUAUCUCAAGUUGUGACCUUUGCCUUUUGUGUCUCCAAUUCUCUUCCCCAUUCUGCUGCAGGGGAUGUAGAGGAGAAAAUGGGAGAGACAGUGGAGCAUGGUUUGGAGAGCCUUGGUGGGGGCACUGACCUGGGAAUUGCCAUUCCUAAACCAUGACAAGUGUAUACCAUACAACUGCUUUAUACCGUAGCAUUACUGAUCAAGGUAUACAUAACAAAUUCACAGGAGUGCACUGUCCCCGGGAUUGUUCAAAGCUGAGUUCAGGUUCCAAACCUGCCAGCUGUCAACGACACCUGAGUCUGUGCCUGGGAAUGCCAGUGAACACCAAGCUGGCAAACCCAGCCCCAGCAAACGCCGUGUGCUGGGCUGUGACCCACAGGAGGGGCUCCUCUGACUCUGACAGCUGCACUU
Molecule: long non-coding RNA, 957 nt
Organism: Passer domesticus (house sparrow)
Lineage: Eukaryota; Metazoa; Chordata; Aves; Passeriformes; Passeridae
Exons: 3
Source: RefSeq, a predicted model, not a curated record